Molecule: ribosomal RNA, 600 nt
Filed under: uncultured bacterium
Lineage: Bacteria
Description: bacterial SSU rRNA
Rfam family: Bacterial small subunit ribosomal RNA
Source: RNAcentral
UAACUGACGCUAAAGCUCGAAAGUGCGGGUAUCGAACAGGAUUAGAUACCCUGGUAGUCCGCACGGUAAACGAUGGAUGCCCGCUGUUGGCGAUACAGUGUCAGCGGCCAAGCGAAAGCGUUAAGCAUCCCACCUGGGGAGUACGCCGGCAACGGUGAAACUCAAAGGAAUUGACGGGGGCCCGCACAAGCGGAGGAACAUGUGGUUUAAUUCGAUGAUACGCGAGGAACCUUACCCGGGCUCAAACGGCGCAGGACGCGUGCGGAAACGCUCGUUCCCUUCGGGGCCUGUGCCGAGGUGCUGCAUGGUUGUCGUCAGCUCGUGCCGUGAGGUGUCGGCUUAAGUGCCAUAACGAGCGCAACCCCCAUUCCCAGUUGCCAUCGGGUGAUGCCGGGCACUCUGGGGAGACUGCCGGCGCAAGCUGCGAGGAAGGCGGGGAUGACGUCAAAUCAGCACGGCCCUUACGUCCGGGGCGACACACGUGUUACAAUGGCGGAGCACAGAAGGAAGCUGCCUGGCGACAGGCCGGCCGAUCCCCAAAAUCCGUCUCAGUUCGGAUCGGAGUCUGCAACCCGACUCCGUGAAGCUGGAUUCGCUAGU